GAUGAACGCUAGCGGGAGGCUUAAUACAUGCAAGUCGAGCGGCAAGGUCUUCGGACCCUAGAGCGGCGCACGGGUGAGUAACGCGUACGCAAUCUGCCCUUCAGUGAGGAAUAGCCCUGGGAAACUGGGAUUAAUACCUCAUAAUAUUAGAGUAUCGCAUGGUACUUUAAUUAAAGUUCUGGCGCUGAAGGAUGAGCGUGCGUCUGAUUAGCUAGUUGGUAGGGUAACGGCCUACCAAGGCUACGAUCAGUAGGGGGCGUGAGAGCGUGACCCCCCACACGGUACUGAGACACGGACCCGACUCCUACGGGAGGCAGCAGUAAGGAAUAUUGGGCGAAU
This 339-nucleotide ribosomal RNA is filed under the name uncultured bacterium. RNAcentral's name for it is "bacterial SSU rRNA". It matches the Rfam family "Bacterial small subunit ribosomal RNA", at positions 28 to 373 of the family's 1533-position model. The record is from RNAcentral.